Esox lucius (northern pike) is the source of this 510-nucleotide long non-coding RNA. Lineage: Eukaryota; Metazoa; Chordata; Actinopteri; Esociformes; Esocidae. The record is from Ensembl.
AAUGCAUUCUUAGAAAUUAUACAUUACUCAUGAAAAACAUGAUGUGCCUUUGUGUUGUAAUUUAAUGGAAAAAUGAAUUACAACAACAUACAUAGACAAAUAUUGCAAGGUUACAUUCAUAGGAAAUUAUAAAGAACAUCAUAAUAGUAGUUCAGAAACUAAGCAAAAUGUACAAUAUAAUCACAUAAAGGAAAUGUGUGUUUGUGGAACCAGUUUAGUGAGCCCAACUUCCAUGGACUGAUGGAUCUUGGCCAGUGAUCAGUUACAACGUUUCUCUGAGGAGCCCUGCGUGAAUAACAAACAGAUGAAUAUAACAUGAAUAACAAACAGAUGAAUAUAACAUAAAUAACAAACAGAUGAAUAUAACAUGAAUAACAAACAGAUGAAUAUAACAUGAAUAACAAACAGAUGAAUAUAACAUGAAUAACACAGACAGAUGAAUAUAACAUGAAUAACAAGGACAGAUGAAUAUAACAUGAAUAACAAACAGAUUAAUAUAACAUGAAUAAC